This 397-nucleotide unclassified non-coding RNA is filed under the name uncultured fungus. RNAcentral's name for it is "partial contains small subunit ribosomal RNA, internal transcribed spacer 1, and 5.8S ribosomal RNA". The stretch from base 1 to 73 matches the Rfam family "Eukaryotic small subunit ribosomal RNA", at positions 1759 to 1831 of the family's 1831-position model. Lineage: Eukaryota; Fungi. The record is from RNAcentral.
GCAAACUUGGUCAUUUAGAGGAAGUAAAAGUCGUAACAAGGUUUCCGUAGGUGAACCUGCGGAAGGAUCAUUACAAAACAAAAUGAAGACGGGUUCAAUCCCCUACGGCAUCCUGUUCGCAGGACUGAGCCGGGGUGGGUCAACCCUUCAUUCUGUAACCCUAUGUUUACAUAACCUCUGUUGCCUCGGCGAGUAGUGGGCUUCGGCCCCCGCCAGUGGGCCCCCGUCCGGACCCCUAGAAAUAGCGGCUCAGGGGGGGCUUACCCGCGUUUACUCGCCAGAGGACCAACUCUUAAACUCUUUUACACUGAACCAGUAUUCUGAAAAUUCGUUAUCUAAUAACAUUAAAACUUUCAACAACGGAUCUCUUGGUUCUGGCAUCGAUGAAGAACGCAGC